This 405-nucleotide ribosomal RNA is filed under the name uncultured prokaryote. RNAcentral's name for it is "bacterial SSU rRNA". It matches the Rfam family "Bacterial small subunit ribosomal RNA", at positions 355 to 774 of the family's 1533-position model. The record is from RNAcentral.
UGGGGAAUAUUGGGCAAUGGGCGCAAGCCUGACCCAGCAACGCCGCGUGAGGGAAGAAGGCCUUCGGGUUGUAAACCUCUGUCCUUAGGGACGAAAAAAAUGACGGUACCUAAGGAGGAAGCUCCGGCUAACUACGUGCCAGCAGCCGCGGUAAUACGUAGGGAGCAAGCGUUGUUCGGAAUUACUGGGCGUAAAGGGUGCGUAGGUGGCCAUGCAAGUCAGAUGUGAAAUCCCCGGGCUUAACUCGGGUGCUGCAUUUGAAACUGCGUGGCUUGAGUGCAGGAGAGGAAAGCGGAAUUCCUAGUGUAGCGGUGAAAUGCGUAGAUAUUAGGAGGAACACCAGUGGCGAAGGCGGCUUUCUGGACUGUAACUGACACUGAGGCACGAAAGCGUGGGGAGCAAACA